UACACGUGGGAACGUGCCCUUUGGUUCGGAACAACACAGGCAAACUUGUGCUAAUACCGGAUGAGCCCUUACGGGGAAAGAUUAUCGCCGAGGGAUCGGCCCGCGUCUGAUUAGCUUGUUGGUGAGGUAACGGCUCACCAAGGCGACGAUCAGUAGCUGGUCUGAGAGGAUGAUCAGCCUCACUGGGACUGAGACACGGCCCAGACUCCUGCGGGAGGCAGCAGUAGGGAAUAUUGGACAAUGGGCGCAAGCCUGAUCCAGCCAUGCCGCGUGAGUGAUGAAGGCCUUAGGGUUGUAAAGCUCUUUCGGCGGGGAAGAUAAUGACGGUACCCGCAGAAGAAGCCCCGGCUAACUUCGUGCCAGCAGCCGCGGUAAUACGAAGGGGGCUAGCGUUGCUCGGAAUCACUGGGCGUAAAGCGCACGUAGGCGGUCUUUUAAGUCAGGGGUGAAAUCCUGGAGCUCAACUCCAGAACUGCCUUUGAUACUGGGAGACUUGAGUCCGGGAGAGGUGAGUGGAACUGCGAGUG
This 527-nucleotide ribosomal RNA is filed under the name uncultured Paenibacillus sp. RNAcentral's name for it is "bacterial SSU rRNA". It matches the Rfam family "Bacterial small subunit ribosomal RNA", at positions 112 to 675 of the family's 1533-position model. Lineage: Bacteria; Bacillati; Bacillota; Bacilli; Caryophanales; Paenibacillaceae. The record is from RNAcentral.